This 3180-nucleotide long non-coding RNA is filed under the name Homo sapiens (human). Its description in RNAcentral is "HSALNT0323295". The record is from RNAcentral. Lineage: Eukaryota; Metazoa; Chordata; Mammalia; Primates; Hominidae.
GUGACACAGAAGACAGUUGAUUUCUGCGUUUCCAACUGAGCAGGGAAGAAAUGUAACCAUGCAUAAGAAAACAGGAACUAAGGAGGGGCAAGGAAGCCAUCAUCAUGAAUGAGAAGUCUGACAACUGGUGCUGUGAUCUGCUAAUUACCAAGAGCACUUUAAGCACACUGGUGGAUUUAAACAAUGUGAAUAAGUAAGAUUGUGAUUUGGCUUUGACAAAGGCAGAGUCAAGCUGGCUUUGUCAUGUAAAGGGCCUGAGACGGCCACAUGGUAUGUUUAAUUGAUGUAAGUACCAGAAAAUGGCAUAAAUGAGUACAGAAUUUAGUUUAAGGGCAUGAUAAACAUGGGAAGGAAAGAAAUGAAAAGAACUAAGAUGUGGGUGAAAAUAUUUGGAGGCGAUGAAUUGAUUACAGAUGAUUAUUGAAAGCUGUUGGCCAUAACACUCCCAGAGGCCUCAUUGUACGGGUUCAAGAAACUGUCAUAAGAGAAUUCUGAAAGCCAAGGUAAGCAGUAAGUAUCCAUUAGGUAGUUUCCAUUCUUUCUCUUCCUGAAAACGUUUAUCAUCUCCAGUGUGAUUUGCACAUAUUGAUUAAUUAAUCUCUAAGUGACUAAUUUUUCAUUAUUUGACAGAUAAUUAGAUCUUUCAUAAAUCUGUGUAAUAAAAGCAUGCAGGAAGCAUUGUGAGCCAGUUUAAUAAUUGGCAUUAGUUUUCAAGAAGAAUGUGUUCCAGCUCAGUUGUUUCCUUAUUAGAAAUCAUCCUGUCAGGAAACACUUUAUAGAUAAAGUAAAUGAUCUUGUCUUCUGGAAAAUAUGACAAUGAUUUUUAACACUUGCCAUUUCACAAGAACCUAAGGCUCCUAUGCUCCAAUUACCCCAGUCUCUAUUAAUUCAAAAAAAAUGGGUGUGUCUGAAUUUUAGUGAUGUUAAAAAUAUGAAAACCAUGGGUCAUCUUUCCUUUGAUUCUAAAAGUGAAGAUGCAUAGGGAGGUAGAGGACCUGAUUAUAACAACCAAAGAAUUGGAGAAUAUUUGUUUUGGAAAGGAAUUGAAAGAAGGAUGAGCUCAUAUCCUUUAAUUUACAGAGUAAAAACCUGAAUCUCAUAAAGGUUAAAUGAUAAAUCCAAAGAUACAAAACUGAUGGGAGAGAUUUGAUUACACUAUGGUGCCCCACAGUUACCCACUAGGAACUCACCAGCUCCAAAUUUCACCUCCCUUUAGAAGAAAACUCCAUUUCUUUUUGUAAAAUAUCUUGACAGAUUCUCUCUGAAAUUGUGUACACCACAGACAAUGAUCAAGAGAAGUGAUGGACUUUUACAAUCCCAUUAUUCACUUUAUAUCUUUUCCAAUUUUCUGAAUUUACUGAUCCAAAUCCUAAGUCAGUGGUUCCAAACUGAGAAGCCAUUAAUGUAGAAGUGAGAAGCCAAUAGAAAAUCUUUGAACUAUUUAACAAUCUAAGAGAACUCAUACAUUUUACUAACAGUAUAAAUUAUCACGGAACUUCUGAUUUUCGAAGAGACUAUUAUUAAAGGAGAUUAUAUUAAGUUUUUAAUAGUUUGGUACCUCCAUUUUCUAUUAUGAGUUAAAUAAUCUUUAUGAAAUAUGUAUUAUUGUAUUUUUGUGUAUUUUAUAUUUUAAGGAAAAUGUACUGUGAAACUUUGUAAGUAUAUAAUGUUAAAGUAAACUUUAUUAAUUUUCCUUGGCUUCUUAUAAAAUGUAAGCCUUGAUUCACCCACACUUUUUGGUAUUCUAUGUUGAAAGGAAAAUUUUACUAUACUUAAGUGCUGUUCCAAGGUUAAAUACUCAUACAUAUAUUUAAUGUUCCAAUUCUAGAAAUCAAACUUAAGAAGUAACACUUUUGGUGGAACCACAAACGGAAAAGAGUCUUGGGUCCUGAAUCAUGGUUUGGAGAAGACCUUUAUGCCUAUUAGGAGCCAAAAGCCUAAAACUCUAAACUUAAAACACAAGCAAUAGAAUGUUGAUUCUGUCCUGUCUGCAGUAUACAGGAUUAGCUUUUUCUGUUAAGAUAAAACUAGGAAAUAAAGUUGUGUGUGGAAGCAAUAAAAAUCUGAACUAUUCCUACAUGUAAUUCUAGAAAUUUAUAGGUGCUACAUUUUUUGAAAAUUUUAAUGACAUAUAUAAGAAGGAAAAUCAAAUUAAAAAUUCAAGUUGAUGUUAUCUUUAAAAAAAAGUAAUAGUUCAUCCUGUUCAUUCAUAAUCUAAAUUAGGUAAAAACCAGUGAUAAAAUAUUGUGUGUUAUUUUAAAAUAUAUGUAUAUCUACACAAACGAUAUUAUAUAUACAAAUACUCGUACUCAUGUACACACCCUAUCAUUAAUAAAGCAUCAUUGUUUAAUUUUAGGAAAAAAAUAACUACAAUUGGGAAUAAAAUUGAUUGCCCUAUUACAUCCAAAAGUCACCAUUCAUUGAUUAUUUUUUCACUUGUGAUUUAUUUUCCCUCAUGUUUCAUUUUCGGAACUUGUGUUUUCCCUUGAAAUACAAGAAUGCUUACUUUAUAAAAAUACACUGUGAUCCUAAUUCUUAGAUGUCAGUUAUUUUAGGUGGUUUAUAGCUCAACCUUUAAAGAGGUGCAGAAAUGCUAAGAGGAUUUGAGUUUUGAUCGUUGACAUUUUACCAAAUAGAAGUAGAAUUGGAGUGGAACCAAAUGGGGUUGGAGAUAGGAGCAGUACAAUUCAACAGCAGAGGUAUAGUGCAUCUAGGCCUGACUUCAUGUCAGCCCUUUCAUUAAGUAGACCUGUAAUGUCAGGUACACCACUUAACCUCUCUAAGCUUAAGUCUCCUCAUCUCUACACAGAGGGGAUAUUGCCAGUUGGGUUUCCUGGGAAGAUGACUUUGAGACGGAGAUCGGCAUCCAGCCUGUUAAUUAUGGAAUGUUCUUGGGAUCAACACCUAUGGGAGGGAGGGAACAGAAGCAGGAUUUGGCUGUGAUGCAGUCCUAAUGGAAUUAAAUAAAGUCCUUAGGAAAAUAAUUUUCUUCCUACUAAAGCAAUAAAAACUUGUUUGAUAUUAGGAUUUAUAAUGGCUUAUAAUGGAACUGUUGGCUUCACUCUGUUAGGGGCAAUACCUGUGCCAAGAAGAAUCUCUGAGUGGAAACUGUUGCUUUAAUUUAUAUUAUUGUAGCAACAUUAUUGUAAAAUUACCUUUUAAAUUGAGAAAAAAUUUUAA